UAAUACGAAGGUGGCAAGCGUUAUUCGGAUUUACUGGGCGUACAGGGAGCGUAGGCGGUUCGGUAAGCCCUCUGUGAAAUCUCCAGGCUUAACCUGGAAAAGUCGGGGGGGACUGCUGGGCUAGAGGACGGGAGAGGAGCGCGGAAUUCCCGGUGUAGCGGUGAAAUGCGUAGAGAUCGGGAGGAAGGCCGGUGGCGAAGGCGGCGCUCUGGAACGUUUCUGACGCUGAGGCUCGAAAGCGUGGGGAGCAAACAGGAUUAGAUACCCUGGUAGUCCACGCCUUAAACUAUGAAUACUAAGUGUCGGCGGUUUACCGCCGGUGCCGCAGCUAACGCAUUAAGUAUUCCGCCUGGGAAGUACGGCCGCAAGGUUGAAACUUAAAUGAAUUGACGG
RNAcentral lists this ribosomal RNA (393 nucleotides) under uncultured nitrite-oxidizing bacterium. Its description in RNAcentral is "bacterial SSU rRNA". It matches the Rfam family "Bacterial small subunit ribosomal RNA", at positions 521 to 916 of the family's 1533-position model. The record is from RNAcentral.